AGUGAACGCUGGCGGUAGGCCUAACACAUACAAGUCGAACGGCAGCACAAGGGAGCUUGCUCCCUGGGUGGCGAGUGGCGGACGGGUGAGGAAUACAUCGGAAUCUACCUUGUCGUGGGGGAUAACCUCGGGAAACCGGGACUAAUACCGCAUACGACCUCGGUGAAGUAGGGAGUCGCAGACCUUACGCGAUUGGAUGA
Molecule: ribosomal RNA, 200 nt
Filed under: uncultured bacterium
Lineage: Bacteria
Description: partial 16S ribosomal RNA
Rfam family: Bacterial small subunit ribosomal RNA
Source: RNAcentral